RNA transcript from Hyla sarda, 3518 nucleotides. It is a transcript of the gene named telomeric repeat binding factor 2, with no coding region annotated. The transcript has 11 exons. Lineage: Eukaryota; Metazoa; Chordata; Amphibia; Anura; Hylidae. The record is from RefSeq and is a predicted model, not a curated record.
ACUCAGCAACUUUACCUCUCCACAUGUUUUGAUAAAUCUCCCCCAUAGACUUAAUUAUCUUUACUGGUUGUUUGUAAUUGUAGGCAAAACCCAAGACUCUGUCCAUUCACCAUCGACCAAUAAAUGUAGGGCGGGGUUUAUGCAAAUUCACAUAGGCGGUACUGCCGUUUAGGGGCGGUUCUCCUUUUUGGAGGCGGUACUGCCAUUUGGGGGCGGUUCUUAAGAUCACUAGUAUUCACUGAGCUGACAGUUUGUAAGUAUCCCAGGUAAUAGAACAUCAUACUAUCUACUUCCGCCCUUCCCAUCAUGGCGGAUGUAUCUUUCCAGGUCAUCUGACCUCCUCGCCGGAAGUGAGAGAUUUCGCGGCGAAUUUUUCGUAUUGGAUAAUGGAGGGGAGCUGUGACAGCGUCCUUUCGGGUGUGGAGCCUGUGGUGAACCAGUGGGUGUUGGAGUACUUUUUUCAUCUUUACGUGGAUGCCUUUAAGAGCUGCAGAAAUGAGGACUUUGUACAGAUUCGGGAUAUUGUCUCAAUUUUAAUCCAGCGAAGGUUAAAAUGUGGGGAACAGAACUCCCAGGUUCUACGUAUCAUGCAGCUUCUGUCCUGUAUUGAAGAAGGGGGGGAUCUUGACUGUACAUUUGAUGAGGAAAAUAACGAGACUCCUCUUGAAUCUGCUAUUGGAAUACUGGAUGCAAUGAAUCAGGAAAAGGCCUUCCCUGCAGAUCUUAUCAAUACAAACAAGCAAAUGCUUAAAGAAGCAGCAGUGGUCGCCUGUAUACAAAAGCAGCAGUUUGGCAGAGCCAGGAGUAUCCUGAAGAAACACCUUACUAACGGCAGAAGUACAAGAACACUACGUGCAGAACUUAUGCAUAUUAUCCAGGAGAGGGACCUAAAACAUCCCCUGAUUGCUAACUUUUCCUUGUCUACAAUCAAAGAGAAGGUUUACAGUAUGUUUAAGAACCAGAUUCAGAAUAUCCCGACAUUUCUGUUGACUCUUGCACAGAAAGAUCCUUUCUAUUUAAACGGAGAGUCCAAGGAACCUUGCACGCCAGAUAAACCACUAGAGAAGAGUAUGGAAAGUGUUUCUCCCCAGGAUGAGGCCUCACCGUCAGAUUUGUCUUCAGCAUCCCAGAGCAAAGAUGUCACUAGUCCAGCAAAGGAAAUGGGGUCAGAAGUAGACUGUGGUCCCACUUAUAGCCUGUCUGCUAUAAGAUCUAAGUUUUUAUUACUCUGUCAAGAUGAGAACCCUGAUGUUAAAUUCAGACACCUAUGCAAGACAGACUUCUGUAGAGAAACCUCUCAAAAUGUUUCUGCUAAAACUCAAACAAGUAAGAGCCCCCGUGCUUGCUCCCCCAGAGCGGAUAUUUCAGUUACAAGUGAGAUGGGAAAACAAAGAUGUCUGACUCUCCACCAGUUAGUCAUGGAACCAGACAGUCAGCAGGAUAGUGAAACUGAAGAGGAACAUAAACAGGAGAUGGAGAGUGCAAUAAAGCCCCAGCAACAGAAGCGCAGAAAUGCAAGUAUACGAAAUUUGUUCAACUCACCCACUACAAGCAAAAGGAGGAAAACAUUAUAUUGAAGGUUAUGUCGUCCAGCCUGAAGCCAGUCAUCUCUAUGCAAGUCAUUAGGGUCAGUCACAUAUCUCUGUUCCAGCUCAGAACAGCACAACGCUAGGUUAUUUUCCUCACGCACCGCUUCCCGCUUGAGGUAUGAAAUGGCUGAUUGCAGGCGGCCCCUCAAGAACGCCAUAGCUGCUCCCAUACUACCAGUUUAUCCUCAGAAUCACUAUGAGCACUCAUGAACAUCUGUAAUUGCAAGGGGACACUGUCAUGAGGACCUAAAAGGGACAACCAGUAUGUGAUGAAACGCCAACUCCUAACAUUAGGGGGCCCCGGGAGUUCUAAGGUCAGCAACCGCAGUGAGUGGUCAGACACACCACAGGUGACACAUGCUCGGAAUUAUAACCGGUAGCCUGACAAGAGUAUGUGGGUGCAGAUGUCUGUAGAUAUCUGCCCAUCCCAACUCAGACAGAAGAGCUGGAAGCGUGGUAGGAGAGGCCUGAGGUGCCGCAGCAGAGCCACAUCUGUCCAAGCAGGGAUCCAAUACACUAUUAAAAUCGCCCAUACAUAGAAUCUUGACCCCAGGUAAAGAAACAGCAAACACAACUGCAAGGUGAAGCACCACAAGAGAACCCGGGAGGGCACAUAGACUCCUAAGAGUACAUAAGGGGAAUUAUCUAUAAGAGAGGAAAUAAAAACAUAACUACCAUCUGGGUCAAUUUGGGUCUAGCGUAUCACCUCAUUUCAGAGAUUUAUGUAUCAUGUAGGAGACACCCCUAGAGUGAGAGAUGUGACAUGAAUGUAGGGACCAUUGCACCCACGGCCGUCAUAGCCAGCGGGUGUUGUCAGAGGUCAGAUGUGUCUCCUGCAGGCAAACAAUAAAGGGAUUGUACUUACGAAUAGUCGCAUAUACCAGGGAUCGCUUACAAGGGCAGCCCAGGCCUCUCACUUUUCACGAAAGGCACCUCACAGUAGCCAUGGGAUCAGUACAGGGCAGGAACUACAGGGGAAACAAAGAGUAAGAGUGGAUAGCAAGUCCAACCAAAAAAGGAAAAGAAAAAGUUUGAAGACGAGUGAGCUCACAUAAAGACAAGACAUAGACACAAAGAACCAACAGAAAACAAAGAUGUGAAUCCACGGACCAGGGGUCGAUGGGGUCAAAAACUAUACUAAACUACUAUACUCCCCUUCUGUGCGUCUAGUAUAAACGGGCACGGCACAAGGGGGGGAUAAGAGGGCAUGAACAAAGUCCAAUGUAUAGAGGGAGAGGGCAAAAGGUAUCACCAUGAGGGCAGCAGACCUCCGUGUAUAGGAAGGAGCCUGUGGCCCACUUGCAAGGCGUGAAUACGGCAGUGUGAGGCACAAGUAAGCAUAAGGUUAUGCCGAGGCGAGAAACUCAUGGUCGGACAUUGAGUCUAUGGGAUGCCCACUCCUCUGCCUCCUGUGGUGUCAGGAAGAAAAUGGCACGUUCACCGUCCACCACACGGAAACAGGCAGGAUAAAUCAUGGAAUAUGGUAUGGCCAUCUUGCGUAGCUUCCUCUUGAUGACUUGAAAGGUGGCUCUUCUGCAGGUCUGGGGAGAAGUCUGGAAAUAUGGAAACCGGGUACCCAUUGUAGGUGAUCUCCGGCAGGUGACGGAGAAGGCGCAGAGCCAAGUCCUGGUCACUGCAAUUAAGCAUUCGGGACAGGAGUGGCCUCUGUGGGGCCCCUGAGGGCAGAAUUGCGAUGGUCUCAACCGCAAAGGCCGACGAGAAGGGAGCGUCCAGCAAGAGCUUCCUCAACCACCGCUCCACAAAUGGGCCCGGGUCCUGGCCCUCAGAUCGCUCGGAAUAGACAAUGAUUUCUCUGAAAAUUCCAGUAUCCAUGAAGAGCAGGACACGUGGAGCGAUGAGGAUGAAUUGUUUCAAUCAAACAGAUCUCUAAAAUCUGGCAACAGUGCAGGCACUCCUGGAAGAAAAAAG